Molecule: microRNA precursor, 88 nt
Filed under: Mus pahari (shrew mouse)
Lineage: Eukaryota; Metazoa; Chordata; Mammalia; Rodentia; Muridae
Description: miRNA (MGP_PahariEiJ_G0007564.1)
Source: RNAcentral
AGAGACAGGCAAAUCUCUGUGAGAUUGAGGCCAGCCUGGUUUAUAUAGUGAGUUCUAGGACAGACACGGAGAAACCCUGUCUCAAAAA